RNAcentral lists this transfer RNA (86 nucleotides) under bacterium. Its description in RNAcentral is "tRNA-Ser". It matches the Rfam family "tRNA". From Rfam's summary of the family: Transfer RNA (tRNA) molecules are approximately 80 nucleotides in length. The record is from RNAcentral.
GGAGGACUAGACCUAACUGGUAAGGCAGCGGUCUUGAAAACCGCCGGGCCGCAAGGCCCUUGGGGGUUCGAGUCCCCCGUCCUCCG